CAAAGGAAUUGACGGGACCCGCACAAGCGGUGAUGAUGUGGUUUAAUUCGAUGCAACGCGAAAACCUUACCACCUUUGACAUGUACGGAACUCGCCAGAGAUGGCUUGGUGCUCGAAAGAGAACCGUAACACAGGUGCUGCAUGGCUGUCGUCAGCUCGUGUCGUGAGAUGUUGGGUUAAGUCCCGCAACGAGCGCAACCCUUGUCAUUAGUUGCUACAUUUAGUUGGGCACUCUAAUGAGACUGCCGGUGACAAGCCGGAGGAAGGUGGGGAUGACGUCAAGUCCUCAUGGCCCUUAUAGGUGGGGCUACACACGUCAUACAAUGGCUGGUACAGAGGGUUGCCAACCCGCGAGGGGGAGCUAAUCCCAUAAAACCAGUCGUAGUCCGGAUCGCAGUCUGCAACUCGACUGCGUGAAGUCGGAAUCGCUAGUAAUCGCGGAUCAGAAUGUCGCGGUGAAUACGUUCCCGGGUCUU
RNAcentral lists this ribosomal RNA (476 nucleotides) under uncultured Polaromonas sp. RNAcentral's name for it is "bacterial SSU rRNA". It matches the Rfam family "Bacterial small subunit ribosomal RNA", at positions 902 to 1382 of the family's 1533-position model. The record is from RNAcentral. Lineage: Bacteria; Pseudomonadati; Pseudomonadota; Betaproteobacteria; Burkholderiales; Comamonadaceae.